Long non-coding RNA from Poecile atricapillus (Black-capped chickadee), 1135 nucleotides. RefSeq lists it as uncharacterized. Lineage: Eukaryota; Metazoa; Chordata; Aves; Passeriformes; Paridae. The transcript has 3 exons. The record is from RefSeq and is a predicted model, not a curated record.
GGAACAGCCUGAAUGAGAACAGAAGUUGACAAACAUCUCCAUGGGUGGUUAUGCCUCUAAAACUCGUGGUGAAUUUUAACCCUCCUGUUAUCUGUGUGAACUGAACAAAAGUUUCUAGCGGGACCUAUAAGUAAGAAGGAGGGUGCAAGAGGAGGCAAGCAUUUCACAAAGUUACUGGUGAGAUAGUUUGGAGAUUUUCUGCACUUUUCUUCCUGUAGCAGAUCCCAAAGUGUUGCAGAGUACCAGAGGUGUAACCAACAAGUGAGACAGAACUGAGAUUUUGAAUCCUACUGCUAGAAUUGUUCAUGCAUUGAAUGUUGCCCUGUCAAUUGCUCAAAAGCAUAAAUAACCAUAAGAACGGAGGCUAGCUGUGAGCUGAGUAAGAUUCCAGAGGGUUUAAUGCAACCUUUACUGAAGUAGUGUUCUUCAUACUAUUAACUGCUGAUUGUCAUAUUCUUUCAUAUCAUUCCAGAGACACAGCCAGCAUUUGAUGUGAACAGCAGCUACUGAAGAGCAUUUUCUUUUCCCAGCCUUAGAGACCUCCUCCAGGACUACUUAGCCAGGGAUGUUAGAGGGGGCUUACCUCUUCCCAUUUGACGAGUAGCUUCAUAUUCUGACCCAGAAUAUUUACAAAGAGCUCUACUUUGACAGAAAUCUAGCAUGGGAACCUGAAGAAGAAUGCAAUCUGACAUAAACAUGCAAAAAUGCUACAAUGAUAGAGAAGAUUAGGAAACCAAACUCUUCACUUAGGCUAUCAUCAAGGAAAAUGUGUAGUGAUUAAUUAGUUAGGUCAUAUAAAUUUAUUCUUUAACAACAGUCCCCUCUUUUUCUUCCCCUCUGAGCUUUUUUCUAGUGCAAAACCAUGAGACUUUGAAAGCUGCACCUCAGUCCUUGCAGGAAUUAGCCAAAACCACAGACCAAGGUGACCUUUGGAAACUGAAAUUUCCUUAGACCACAAUAGAACUGAUCCUGACUGUUUUGCAGCUGUUCCUUGUUGUACAAGCUGACUAGAAGCUGAAGAAUAAACAUGAGGAAGAAAAGAAUAAUAGUACUAUCUUAACCUGCUCUUUUGAUUUUCCAAGGUCCAUAUAUCAACCUUUUGUAGUAAAUGUAUGUCUGUCUAGUGCAAACCCUA